RNAcentral lists this ribosomal RNA (501 nucleotides) under uncultured bacterium. RNAcentral's name for it is "partial 16S ribosomal RNA". It matches the Rfam family "Bacterial small subunit ribosomal RNA", at positions 30 to 523 of the family's 1533-position model. The record is from RNAcentral.
AUUGAACGCUGGCGGCAGGCUUAACACAUGCAAGUCGAGCGGGGGAAGGUAGCUUGCUACUGGACCUAGCGGCGGACGGGUGAGUAAUGCUUAGGAAUCUGCCUAUUAGUGGGGGACAACAUCUCGAGAGGGAUGCUAAUACCGCAUACGUCCUACGGGAGAAAGCAGGGGAUCUUCGGACCUUGCGCUAAUAGAUGAGCCUAAGUCGGAUUAGCUAGUUGGUGGGGUAAAGGCCUACCAAGGCGACGAUCUGUAGCGGGUCUGAGAGGAUGAUCCGCAACACUGGGACUGAGACACGGCCCAGACUCCUACGGGAGGCAGCAGUGGGGAAUAUUGGACAAUGGGGGGAACCCUGAUCCAGCCAUGCCGCGUGUGUGAAGAAGGCCUUAUGGUUGUAAAGCACUUUAAGCGAGGAGGAGGCUACUCUAGUUAAUACCUAGGGAUAGUGGACGUUACUCGCAGAAUAAGCACCGGCUAACUCUGUGCCAGCCGCCGCGGUAA